UUUUAAUAUUACAUAUGUGUGCAAUCCGUUGUGUCCGACUCUGCAACUUCAUGAACUGCUCCUCUGUCUAUGGAAUUUUUCAGGUGUUUGCCACUGGAAUAACUUGGAGUCAGCCGGCCGUGUAUGCUACUUUCUGCCAAAGACUUUUGGGCCAUGGGGUUUCUUCACUACAAAAUACACUGCCGAAAGAUAACAGCAACAGAAGUCAUGUCAUGAAGCCGAGGAUCACUGGGGGAAAUGCGAAUCCACAGGCCUUCAGAUCUGAGGCAGCAUUCUCAAAUGCUGAAGUCAUCUCCUAUCCACCCGAGGCCCUCAGAUCUGCACAUCGAUGUAUGAAAUUGGAGGCUAAUAUGCAGGCUUUUCUGGAAGAGUUGAAGGAGGCGUUACUGAGUCAUAUAUGCCAGUUGCACACAAAUCCACCAUCUGAGGAAAACCUCCCUGUUGAUCGUCUUCCCUCUGAAAGUGGCCGCAGCUCAUCACAUGAGCUUUGCAGAAGAAAUUAGCCUGCUGUACCCGUCACCAAACAAAGGCAGAAAGAAUGAGUCCUUCCUAUCCCAGAGCAAUUGUGCUUAGUCUGUAUGGCUUGGGUGGAGUUUCCUUCCACCUCCCAUCCCACAAGAAAAGUCACGUGGCCUGGCCUUCAUCAGUUCCAGCAGGUAUUCCAAGAUUCUUUGCAGUGAUUGGCUCAGAGAUAUGUAGCAAUUGUUGACAUUUGGAGUUUCUUGACUCUCUUUGAUUGCAACUUUCUGUGCCCUGUUGCAAUAAAAUUCAGUUAAUACAGUAAUUAGUAUUCUGU
RNAcentral lists this long non-coding RNA (796 nucleotides) under Bos indicus x Bos taurus (hybrid cattle). RNAcentral's name for it is "lncRNA (ENSBIXG00000025315.1)". Lineage: Eukaryota; Metazoa; Chordata; Mammalia; Artiodactyla; Bovidae. The record is from RNAcentral.